GGGCCUGUAGCUCAGGGGAUAGAGCACUGGUUUCCGGUACCAGGUGUCGGAGGUUCGAAUCCUUCCAGGCCCG
This 73-nucleotide transfer RNA is filed under the name Rubrobacter sp. RNAcentral describes it as "tRNA-Arg". It matches the Rfam family "tRNA". Rfam says of the family: Transfer RNA (tRNA) molecules are approximately 80 nucleotides in length. Their secondary structure includes four short double-helical elements and three loops (D, anti-codon, and T loops). RNAcentral also lists the same sequence under 5 other names. The record is from RNAcentral. Lineage: Bacteria; Bacillati; Actinomycetota; Rubrobacteria; Rubrobacterales; Rubrobacteraceae.